GACGAACGCUGGCGGCGUGCUUAACACAUGCAAGUCGAACGGGCCUUGUCCCCUUUUUUUUUGGGGGUGGGGUUAGUGGCGAACGGGUGAGUAACACGUGAGUAACCUGCCCCUCACUUCUGGAUAACCGCUUGAAAGGGUGGCUAAUACGGGGUGUUCUGGCCUGCUCGCAUGGGUGGGUUUGGAAAGAUUCGACCGGUUUUGGUUGUUUUGGUGGGGGAUGGGCUCGCGGCCUAUCAGCUUGUUGGUGGGGGGAUGGCCUGCCAAGGCUUUGCCGGGUAGCCGGCCUGAGAGGGUGGGCGGUCACACUGGGACUGAGACACGGCCCAGACUCCUACGGGAGGCAGCAGUGGGGAAUAUUGCACAAUGGGCGCAAGCCUGAUGCAGCGACGCCGCGUGAGGGAUGGAGGCCUUCGGGUUGUGAACCUCUUUCGCCAGUGAAGAAGGUCCUGCUCUUUGUGGUGGGGUUGACGGUAGCUGGGUUAAUGAAGCGCCGGCUAACUACGUG
RNAcentral lists this ribosomal RNA (508 nucleotides) under uncultured bacterium. RNAcentral describes it as "partial 16S ribosomal RNA". It matches the Rfam family "Bacterial small subunit ribosomal RNA", at positions 28 to 507 of the family's 1533-position model. The record is from RNAcentral.